UCCCUGGUGGCUCAGAUGGUAAAGCGUCUGCCUGUAAUGCAGGAGAUCCAGGUUCAAUCCCUGGGUUGGGAA
RNAcentral lists this transfer RNA (72 nucleotides) under Bos taurus (domestic cattle). It matches the Rfam family "tRNA". From Rfam's summary of the family: Transfer RNA (tRNA) molecules are approximately 80 nucleotides in length. Lineage: Eukaryota; Metazoa; Chordata; Mammalia; Artiodactyla; Bovidae. The record is from Rfam by way of RNAcentral. RNAcentral also lists the same sequence under 2 other names.